AUGUCGUGCUCCGGCAGCCAUUCCGGCUCUAACCUCGACGUCGACGAGGAGCUGGCACUUCACAUUGCCUUGGAGCGGUCCAAGCUGGGCGACGCGGCCGACAGGAUCGUCAGGGAGUCGAACCCCUCCACCGCGACCCCGACCGGCCAAGGCAUGGUUCGCUACGACGACAAACGCAUCAGCUCGGCCUUCAACCUGGGCAGCUGGCUGGAGAUCCACACCGCCGAGGACCUCCCGCCCAACGGGGAGUUCCCGCCGGGGUGGCUCGAGGAGCGGAGGCGGAUGCUGGACGAGGAGAUGUGGCCGGAGAAGAGGGGCGAGCCCAACCACUCGCGAUUCCAUCUACUAGCCAAGACGCGCGUCGACUUGCUCACCAAGGGCUACGUCGAGUUCCCCAAGCCGUACGUUGACUACACGCCUUACUGA
RNAcentral lists this ribosomal RNA (426 nucleotides) under Triticum aestivum (bread wheat). RNAcentral describes it as "partial small subunit ribosomal RNA". Lineage: Eukaryota; Viridiplantae; Streptophyta; Magnoliopsida; Poales; Poaceae. The record is from RNAcentral.